Homo sapiens (human) is the source of this 953-nucleotide long non-coding RNA. Ensembl annotates it as MPHOSPH10 pseudogene 1. Its record names the gene MPHOSPH10P1. The record is from Ensembl. Lineage: Eukaryota; Metazoa; Chordata; Mammalia; Primates; Hominidae.
ACAGGAGGAAGAGGAAGUGUCAGAUAUGGGUGGUGACAAUCCUGAAGUGGGCAAGAAAGCUAGAAACUCAAGCAAAUUUGAGCUGAGGAAAAGCCCAGUUUUCAGUGAUGAGGAUUCUGACCUUGACUUUGAUAUCAGCAAAUUGGAACAGCAGAGCAAGUCAGGUAAAAGUUCCAGAAAUGUGAACAACAAAGAUUUUUUUGAUCCAGUUGAAAGUGAUGAAGACAUAGCAAGUGAUCAUGAUGAUGAGCUGGGUUCAAACAAGAUGAUGAAAUUGCUGAAGAAGAAGCAGAAGAAGGAAGCAUUUCUGAAAUAUGAAUGAAAAAAAUUACAUCUUUAGAAAAAGAGUUAUUAGAAAAAAGCCUUGGCAGCGUCGGGGGGAAGUGACAGCACAGAAGAGACCAGAGAAUAGCUUCCUGGAGGAGACCCUGCACUUUAACCAUGCUGUCUGGAUGGGUACAGUGCCCUCUUCUGCAAAGAGUUCACUUCUAUGCUUUUUCUGUGGUUCCAUUUCAUAGAAAGAUUUGGGGCGAUGUUUCUUUUCCCUUAACUUUUUAUUUUAAAAACUUGCAAACACAGAAAAGUUGAUAAAAUCAUACAGUGAACAUCUGUAUUCUAUUCAACUGGAUUCACUAGUUCACAUUUUGUCAUAUUUGUGUUCUCUUUUCCCCAUAUGGAAGAUUGUAUAUUUGCCCUUUUUCCCCCUGAAUCAUUUCAAAGUAAGUUGCCAGUAUCAUAGCAUUUCACUGUUAAGUACUUUUGCAGAUAUCUCCUAAGAACCAGGAUAUUCUCCUAUAUAAUCACAAUACCAUUAAUCCACCCAAAACAUUUAACAUCAGUACACUAAUGAUACCUACUGUAUAGAUUAUAAUCAGCUUCCUUGCAGUAAUCUGUUUAGAAGACUUGCAUCCUGUCACUGUCCACUGAUUAAAUUUUGAACUCUUAACUUGAAA